Molecule: unclassified non-coding RNA, 211 nt
Filed under: Hevea brasiliensis (rubber tree)
Lineage: Eukaryota; Viridiplantae; Streptophyta; Magnoliopsida; Malpighiales; Euphorbiaceae
Source: RNAcentral
AUCAAGGCAACAAUAGCGGAACGAGCCAAUGCCUUUAAACUACAUUAUGAAUUGGCUGAAACGACCAAGCUGAAGGAGAUUAAUCUCGACAAGCUGAUGCUUAUCCGUUCUGAGAAGGCCGGAGAAGCUGAAAUUGAAUAUAGAGGGUUGAAAGCAGACAGCGAAGAGGCGACUGCAAGAUUUGAGACGAUUGUCAAAUUGAUGAACGAAG